AUCACUUCUUGGCCUUUUGGCUAACAUCAAGUGUAGUGUCUGUUCUUAUCAGUUUAAUAUCUGAUAUGUCAUCUCUCCGAGGGCAAUAUAUUAAGUGGAUUUUUGGAGCAGGGAGAUGGAAUAGGAGCUUGCUCCGACCACUCCACACAUUGACCUGGUAUCGCAGUACCUCCAGGAACAGUGCGAAAAAA
RNAcentral lists this small nuclear RNA (191 nucleotides) under Dasypus novemcinctus (nine-banded armadillo). RNAcentral describes it as "U2 spliceosomal RNA (ENSDNOG00000042829.1)". It matches the Rfam family "U2 spliceosomal RNA". From Rfam's summary of the family: U2 is a small nuclear RNA (snRNA) component of the spliceosome (involved in pre-mRNA splicing). Complementary binding between U2 snRNA (in an area lying towards the 5' end but 3' to hairpin I) and the branchpoint sequence (BPS) of the intron results the bulging out of an unpaired adenosine, on the BPS, which initiates a nucleophilic attack at the intronic 5' splice site, thus starting the first of two transesterification reactions that mediate splicing. The record is from RNAcentral. Lineage: Eukaryota; Metazoa; Chordata; Mammalia; Cingulata; Dasypodidae.